CAUUUUCGUGAGAAUGUGGGCCAGCUGAUCACCAUGAAGAAGCUGCUAGUUACUGAUACAAAUGCAUUCUAGAGAAUUUUAUUAGAGUAACAUGAAAAGAAAAGUUAGAAGCAUCACCAAACAGAUAACCAGGAAACACUUCAGAUACAUUUCAAAAUCAUGGCGGUGAAGAAAUAUGAAACACAGCACGAGUUCUCUCAGAAGAAACAGAUUAUGCCACACCAGAAAUAAAGUGUCUGACACCACACCAUUGUAGGACCAACAAAUAAAAUCUACAAGUUGUGGACAAUUAUGAGGAUAUAAAAGAUACUAAUAUAAUAAUAUAAUUGGCUCUCUUGUUGUAAAGUGAUGGUUGUAUGGGAAUUGUGUAAAUAAUUAAAUUUUGAAAUUCAGUUUUGUAAAAAAAUAAUUUUUAA
Long non-coding RNA from Physella acuta, 416 nucleotides. RefSeq lists it as uncharacterized. Lineage: Eukaryota; Metazoa; Mollusca; Gastropoda; Physidae. The record is from RefSeq and is a predicted model, not a curated record.